AACGCACCUUGCACCUCUUGGUAUUCCGAGAGGUACAUCUGUUUGAGUGUCAUGAAUCCCUCAACCUCUACGCUUUCUUGUAAAGUGCGGAAGCGUUGGAUGCUGAGCGUUGCUGUCUUACAACACAGCUCGCUUCAAAUGUAUAAGCAAUCUUUGUACUACUCGGAUUGACUUGGCGUGAUAAAAUCUUCGUCAAGGAUGCUUCACAGCAGCCGAAGGAUAUGACAGUUGCUACCAAACCGUCGCACUUGUGCCACACUUUUAUUUUAGACCUCAAAUCAGAUGGGACUACCCGCUGAACUUAA
Molecule: unclassified non-coding RNA, 305 nt
Filed under: Dioszegia sp.
Lineage: Eukaryota; Fungi; Basidiomycota; Tremellomycetes; Tremellales; Bulleribasidiaceae
Also listed under: 1 other name
Description: partial contains 5.8S ribosomal RNA, internal transcribed spacer 2, and large subunit ribosomal RNA
Source: RNAcentral